This 635-nucleotide ribosomal RNA is filed under the name Salmonella enterica. RNAcentral describes it as "partial 23S ribosomal RNA". It matches the Rfam family "Bacterial large subunit ribosomal RNA", at positions 2168 to 2802 of the family's 2925-position model. RNAcentral also lists the same sequence under 1 other name. The record is from RNAcentral. Lineage: Bacteria; Pseudomonadati; Pseudomonadota; Gammaproteobacteria; Enterobacterales; Enterobacteriaceae.
ACGCCAGUCUGCAUGGAGCCGGCCUUGAAAUACCACCCUUUAAUGUUUGAUGUUCUAACGUGGACCCGUGAUCCGGGUUGCGGACAGUGUCUGGUGGGUAGUUUGACUGGGGCGGUCUCCUCCUAAAGAGUAACGGAGGAGCACGAAGGUUGGCUAAUCCUGGUCGGACAUCAGGAGGUUAGUGCAAUGGCAUAAGCCAGCUUGACUGCGAGCGUGACGGCGCGAGCAGGUGCGAAAGCAGGUCAUAGUGAUCCGGUGGUUCUGAAUGGAAGGGCCAUCGCUCAACGGAUAAAAGGUACUCCGGGGAUAACAGGCUGAUACCGCCCAAGAGUUCAUAUCGACGGCGGUGUUUGGCACCUCGAUGUCGGCUCAUCACAUCCUGGGGCUGAAGUAGGUCCCAAGGGUAUGGCUGUUCGCCAUUUAAAGUGGUACGCGAGCUGGGUUUAGAACGUCGUGAGACAGUUCGGUCCCUAUCUGCCGUGGGCGCUGGAGAACUGAGGGGGGCUGCUCCUAGUACGAGAGGACCGGAGUGGACGCAUCACUGGUGUUCGGGUUGUCAUGCCAAUGGCACUGCCCGGUAGCUAAAUGCGGAAGAGAUAAGUGCUGAAAGCAUCUAAGCACGAAACUUGCCCCGA